Molecule: transfer RNA, 70 nt
Filed under: Rhacodactylus leachianus (New Caledonia giant gecko)
Lineage: Eukaryota; Metazoa; Chordata; Lepidosauria; Squamata; Diplodactylidae
Description: tRNA-Trp
Source: RNAcentral
AGAAACUUAGGUUAAGUACCAAACCUAGAGCCUUCAAAGCCCUAAACAGAGGGUGAACCUCUAGUUUCUG